CUACGGGAGGCAGCAGUAGGGAAUCUUCGGCAAUGGACGGAAGUCUGACCGAGCAACGCCGCGUGAGUGAAGAAGGUUUUCGGAUCGUAAAGCUUUGUUGUAAGAGAAGAACGAGUGUGAGAGUGGAAAGUUCACACUGUGACGGUAUCUUACCAGAAAGGGACGGCUAACUACGUGCCAGCAGCCGCGGUAAUACGUAGGUCCCGAGCGUUGUCCGGAUUUAUUGGGCGUAAAGCGAGCGCAGGCGGUUAGAUAAGUCUGAAGUUAAAGGCUGUGGCUUAACCAUAGUACGCUUUGGAAACUGUUUAACUUGAGUGCAAGAGGGGAGAGUGGAAUUCCAUGUGUAGCGGUGAAAUGCGUAGAUAUAUGGAGGAACACCGGUGGCGAAAGCGGCUCUCUGGCUUGUAACUGACGCUGAGGCUCGAAAGCGUGGGGAGCAAACAGGAUUAGAUACCCUGGUAGUCCACGCCGUAAACGAUGAGUGCUAGGUGUUAGACCCUUUCCGGGGUUUAGUGCCGCAGCUAACGCAUUAAGCACUCCGCCUGGGGAGUACGACCGCAAGGUUGAAACUCAAAGGAAUUGACG
Molecule: ribosomal RNA, 585 nt
Filed under: uncultured bacterium
Lineage: Bacteria
Description: bacterial SSU rRNA
Rfam family: Bacterial small subunit ribosomal RNA
Source: RNAcentral